CGGGGGGCAGCAGUGGGGAAUAUUGCACAAUGGGCGCAAGCCUGAUGCAGCAACGCCGCGUGAGGGACGACGGCCUUCGGGUUGUAAACCUCUUUUAGUAGGGAAGAAGCGAAAGUGACGGUACCUGCAGAAAAAGCACCGGCUAACUACGUGCCAGCAGCCGCGGUAAUACGUAGGGUGCAAGCGUUAUCCGGAAUUAUUGGGCGUAAAGAGCUCGUAGGCGGUUUGUCACGUCUGCUGUGAAAACUGGAGGCUCAACCUCCAGCCUGCAGUGGGUACGGGCAGACUAGAGUGCGGUAGGGGAGAUUGGAAUUCCUGGUGUAGCGGUGGAAUGCGCAGAUAUCAGGAGGAACACCGAUGGCGAAGGCAGAUCUCUGGGCCGUAACUGACGCUGAGGAGCGAAAGCAUGGGGAGCGAACAGGAUUAGAUACCCCAGU
RNAcentral lists this ribosomal RNA (437 nucleotides) under uncultured Salinibacterium sp. RNAcentral's name for it is "bacterial SSU rRNA". It matches the Rfam family "Bacterial small subunit ribosomal RNA", at positions 342 to 791 of the family's 1533-position model. Lineage: Bacteria; Bacillati; Actinomycetota; Actinomycetes; Micrococcales; Microbacteriaceae. The record is from RNAcentral.